UCCGGUCUUUAGAGCGCUGUCGUACCACUUCUUCCCAUUCCGAACAGAACCGUGAAAGGCAGCAGCGGGAACGAUAGUAACGGUUUUCACCGCUAUGAAAAUACCUCAAGGCCGGAU
RNAcentral lists this ribosomal RNA (117 nucleotides) under Candidatus Beckwithbacteria bacterium RIFCSPHIGHO2_12_FULL_47_17. The record is from RNAcentral. Lineage: Bacteria; Candidatus Beckwithiibacteriota.